RNAcentral lists this long non-coding RNA (551 nucleotides) under Homo sapiens (human). RNAcentral describes it as "long non-coding RNA NONHSAT213308.1". The record is from RNAcentral. Lineage: Eukaryota; Metazoa; Chordata; Mammalia; Primates; Hominidae.
GUGCGGAGGUGCUCCUCGCAGAGUUGUUUCUCGAGCAGCGGCAGUUCUCACUACAGCGCCAGGACGAGUCCGGUUCGUGUUCGUCCGCGGAGAUCUCUCUCAUCUCGCUCGGCUGCGGGAAAUCGGGCUGAAGCGACUGAGUCCGCGAUGGAGAAAACUUUAGAAACUGUUCCUUUGGAGAGGAAAAAGAGAGAAAAGGAACAGUUCCGUAAGCUCUUUAUUGGUGGCUUAAGCUUUGAAACCACAGAAGAAAGUUUGAGGAACUACUACGAACAAUGGGGAAAGCUUACAGACUGUGUAAUGAGGGAUCCUGCAAGCAAAAGAUCAAGAGGAUUUGGUUUUGUAACUUUUUCAUCCAUGGCUGAGGUUGAUGCUGCCAUGGCUGCAAGACCUCAUUCAAUUGAUGGGAGAGUAGUUGAGCCAAAACGUGCUGUAGCAAGAGAGGAAUCUGGAAAACCAGGGGCUCAUGUAACUGUGAAGAAGCUGUUUGUUGGCGGAAUUAAAGAAGAUACUGAGGAACAUCACCUUAGAGAUUACUUUGAGGAAUAUGG